CCUACGGGAGGCAGCAGUAGGGAAUAUUGCACAAUGGGGGAAACCCUGAUGCAGUAACGCCGCGUGGGUGAAGAAGUAAUUCGUUACGUAAAGCUCUAUCAGCAGAGAAGAAACACUGACCUUACGGUCAGCAGACGGUACCUGAGUAAGAAGCACCGGCUAACUACGUGCCAGCAGCCGCGGUAAUACGUAGGGGGCAAGCGUUAUCCGGAUUUACUGGGGGUAAAGGGAGCGUAGACGGUGCGCCAAGUCUGGAGUGAAAUGCCGCAGCUUAACUGCGGAACUGCUUUGGAAGCUGGGGAACUAGAGUGUGGGAGGGGUAAGUGGAAUUCUUAGUGUAGAGGUGA
This 347-nucleotide ribosomal RNA is filed under the name uncultured bacterium. RNAcentral's name for it is "partial 16S ribosomal RNA". It matches the Rfam family "Bacterial small subunit ribosomal RNA", at positions 338 to 684 of the family's 1533-position model. The record is from RNAcentral.